This 711-nucleotide ribosomal RNA is filed under the name Bacillus pumilus. RNAcentral describes it as "bacterial SSU rRNA". It matches the Rfam family "Bacterial small subunit ribosomal RNA", at positions 48 to 742 of the family's 1533-position model. The record is from RNAcentral. Lineage: Bacteria; Bacillati; Bacillota; Bacilli; Caryophanales; Bacillaceae.
CUAAUACAUGCAAGUCGAGCGGACAGAAGGGAGCUUGCUCCCGGAUGUUAGCGGCGGACGGGUGAGUAACACGUGGGUAACCUGCCUGUAAGACUGGGAUAACUCCGGGAAACCGGAGCUAAUACCGGAUAGUUCCUUGAACCGCAUGGUUCAAGGAUGAAAGACGGUUUCGGCUGUCACUUACAGAUGGACCCGCGGCGCAUUAGCUAGUUGGUGGGGUAAUGGCUCACCAAGGCGACGAUGCGUAGCCGACCUGAGAGGGUGAUCGGCCACACUGGGACUGAGACACGGCCCAGACUCCUACGGGAGGCAGCAGUAGGGAAUCUUCCGCAAUGGACGAAAGUCUGACGGAGCAACGCCGCGUGAGUGAUGAAGGUUUUCGGAUCGUAAAGCUCUGUUGUUAGGGAAGAACAAGUGCGAGAGUAACUGCUCGCACCUUGACGGUACCUAACCAGAAAGCCACGGCUAACUACGUGCCAGCAGCCGCGGUAAUACGUAGGUGGCAAGCGUUGUCCGGAAUUAUUGGGCGUAAAGGGCUCGCAGGCGGUUUCUUAAGUCUGAUGUGAAAGCCCCCGGCUCAACCGGGGAGGGUCAUUGGAAACUGGGAAACUUGAGUGCAGAAGAGGAGAGUGGAAUUCCACGUGUAGCGGUGAAAUGCGUAGAGAUGUGGAGGAACACCAGUGGCGAAGGCGACUCUCUGGUCUGUAACUG